Molecule: non-coding RNA, 75 nt
Filed under: unclassified sequences
Description: RT-6 RNA
Rfam family: RT-6 RNA
About the family: Firmicutes. Nearby to self-splicing intron genes
Source: Rfam by way of RNAcentral
UGUUCUAUACAAUUAGGUAUAGGAGAUAUGGAUUGUUGUCAAGUCUUCUGCGAGAAUUUCUUCAAGAAAUCUUGC